AGAGAGAGUGAAAAGACAUGGUGUUUUUACACCCUUUACUAUAAGAGAAAAUAUUUUCACCAUGGUAACUGCAAUGAAUUUGCCUUUA
Molecule: long non-coding RNA, 88 nt
Organism: Octopus sinensis (East Asian common octopus)
Lineage: Eukaryota; Metazoa; Mollusca; Cephalopoda; Octopoda; Octopodidae
Exons: 3
Source: RefSeq, a predicted model, not a curated record